GUGAGCUCUAAAAGAGGCACUGUCCUGGCCUUGGGUUUGCAUGCUUUUAGGCAAAGGCACUUCAAGAAGAUACCCAGGAACUCUUUGUGGAAGGAGAAAUGGGACGGAGCUUUUUCGCAAUUGGUUUCAGCCCUACCCAUUAUUUCCAUCCUUCUUGUAUCAUCCCAACACCAUCACAACCCAGUGCCUGUGCAUUUCCUAGCCACUAGUUCAUCUUGAAUGCACCCAGGACCACAGUUCUGCACUAGGAAAAGCAGCUCCCCAGGUGCUGAGGAGAGACUUAAUGAAGAGCUGUGAAGAGGGGAUCAAGAUAGCAACCCAUAACGAGCCUCAUUUCCGAAACGAAGGAACUCGAGUCUGAAGAGAUUCAGUAAAAACAAAAAUAAAACUCGAUGGCACAGGAAGAAAGCAUCCAAUCCUUCCCUCCCCAGGCUGCCAGCACAGAGCAGGAAUAGGAAACGGGAGCAUUCAGGGCUCGGCUGCAGUGACUCAACCUUCAUCCUGAUGGGAACGCGACAAAGCCGAAACUCUGCUGACUCAGGUGUGAUGAGGAGCUGCUGCCCCUGCCGGCCUCACCGCCCUCAUUCCCUCUGUCCUGACUCAAUUCAAGGCCCUUCUACCAUUGGGCUCCCAGGGAAUUA
Lagopus leucura (white-tailed ptarmigan) is the source of this 641-nucleotide long non-coding RNA. RefSeq lists it as uncharacterized. The record is from RefSeq and is a predicted model, not a curated record. The transcript has 3 exons. NCBI's taxonomy places the organism in Eukaryota, Metazoa, Chordata, Aves, Galliformes, Phasianidae.